GCCCACCCCCGGGCGCAGGCCCCGCCAGGCCCCGCCCGCCCACGGCUGCGGCAGCGGGAGAAGCGCCCGGCGGGCCCGGGGCCGCCUCCGGGCCCGGCCUCAUCGCUCCAGGCACGGUCUCAGCGCUGCCUUUAGCCUCGGUGGCACCAUUGCUGCUUUGCAGGUCCCUGUCACAGGUACCCCCGAGGCAGCCUCAUGUCAGCCCAAGCCACAUCCAUGCAUCCAUCCUUGCUCCUUUACCUUCAUGAGGACCCCCCAUACCCCACACAGCACUGCCUGGCACCCCCCAUCUCCGCUCCUCCACCUGCAGAGGCUGGUUCCCAACCUCAGUCCAUCCCAGAGCCCUCCACAACAGGGGUGGCAGCCACCUGGGGGGCUCAAACGGGAGCAACCGAGUGGCAGCCCCAUAUCCCAGUCGCUCCAGGAGUGUUUUCCUUCAGUCAGGCAUUACCCACAGAGCAGUAAGUGCUGGCAGGGACUGGGCGGCCACAUGCCCUCCCCAUGCAGAAAGAGAUGGAAUUCCAGAAGUUUGGAAGAUUCACUUUUACCACGGCCAUAUCCACACACUGCAGCUCCCACCAUCCGUUUGGAUGGACACCAGGGCCCCGGCUGGGCCAGGAGGAGGGGAGGAGGCAAAGCAAGACCUCUGCUAUCCCUUGUGGCAAGAUGUCCCACAGCUCAGAUAGGGCUCUUCCUCCCUCCUUGCUGACCUCUGGUGAAGGACUUGUUGCUUUGGGAGAUGAUUCCGAGUCACAGUGGGCUGCUCAGUGUCACCCUUUGGAACUCCAGGCAGGGAUGGUGCUGAAGGAAGCAGGAAGACUUCAGUUCCUACCGCAUUGCUCUGGCUCUAGGCAAGUCACUUCACCUCUUUGCAUGUCCUCAGGCUGGUAGAUACUGUCUCAGGAGCGUGCUGAAAGAAUUAUCAACCAGGAUUGCCAGGCUGGUUUGCACCACAAGGUGCUACAUGCCAGAGGCUGUUGUUUUGGUUCUCUUCCCUUGGGCAGGAGCAAAACCUAAAGGCCAGAAGCUCCUGCACGGUUUGCCAAAGGUUUGCCAAAGGAAAAGGAGGAACAACGUUUGCAUCCAGCCUCUGGACCACUUGGCUCCUGUUGACAGGCCUCAGUUCUGGUGAAUCCUGCUCCGUGGAGGUAGGAAUGACAGAGCUGGUGGUCUCCAAGCAGCAAUGCUCUGUCUGCUCCUUCCCUUCCUGCCCUGAUGGAAAAGGUGCUUGGAGCAGGGACAACCCAGCUACAUUUUGCUGCAGCUGCUCCAGCAGCAGCUCAAUUGGGGAACAUUUUCCUUGCCUAAAUAAAAGCAUCUUGCAACCAGACAGUGCGAACUGAUCCCAUCCUGCUGCAGAAACCAGGUGCUUUGAGCACGGGCUGCCCACUUCAGCUGCACACACACACACAGAGGGAUG
Strigops habroptila (Kakapo) is the source of this 1420-nucleotide long non-coding RNA. The record is from Ensembl. Lineage: Eukaryota; Metazoa; Chordata; Aves; Psittaciformes; Psittacidae.